AUACUCUUUGGGGACAUCCAAUAAAGAUGGAACGAUACAGAAAAAAUUAGUACGCCCAUUGCGGAAGGAUAACACGCACAAAUCGAGAAAUGAUCCAAUUUUUA
Molecule: non-coding RNA, 104 nt
Organism: Nicotiana attenuata
Lineage: Eukaryota; Viridiplantae; Streptophyta; Magnoliopsida; Solanales; Solanaceae
Source: Rfam